GAUGAACGCUGGCGGCGUGCCUAAUACAUGCGAGUCGAGCGAACAGACGAGGAGCUUGCUCCUCUGACGUUAGCGGCGGACGGGUGAGUAACACGUGGAUAACCUACCUAUAAGACUGGGAUAACUUCGGGAAACCGGAGCUAAUACCGGAUAAUAUAUUGAACCGCAUGGUUCAAUAGUGAAAGACGGUUUUGCUGUCACUUAUAGAUGGAUCCGCGCCGCAUUAGCUAGUUGGUAAGGUAACGGCUUACCAAGGCAACGAUGCGUAGCCGACCUGAGAGGGUGGACGGCCACACUGGAACUGAGGCCCGGUCCAGACUCCUACGGGAGGCAGCAGUAGGGAAUCUUCCGGAAUGGGCGAAAGCCUGAAGGAGCAACGCCGCGUGAGUGAUGAAGGUCUUCGGAUCGUAAAACUCUGUUAUUAGGGAAGAACAAAUGUGUAAGUAACUAUGCACGUCUUGACGGUACCUAAUCAGAAAGCCACGGCUAACUACGUG
RNAcentral lists this ribosomal RNA (497 nucleotides) under uncultured bacterium. Its description in RNAcentral is "partial 16S ribosomal RNA". It matches the Rfam family "Bacterial small subunit ribosomal RNA", at positions 28 to 507 of the family's 1533-position model. The record is from RNAcentral.